UCCUGGCUUAGAACGAACGCUGGUGGCGUGUCUUAUACAUGCAAGUCGAGCGGUCCGCAAGGAUAGCGGCGAACGGGUGAGUAACGCGUAAGCAAUCUGCCCCGCAUAUUGGGGAUAGCCGUGCCAACGCGCGGAUAAUACCGAAUAACGUGGCCCCGGACAUCCGGGGUUGACGAAAGAUCCAUCGAUGCGGGAUGAGCUUGCGUCCGAUUAGCUAGUUGGCGGGGCAACGGCCCACCAAGGCGACGAUCGGUAGCCGGCCUGAGAGGGUGAUCGGCCACAUUGGGACUGAGAUACGGCCCAGACUCCUACGGGAGGCAGCAGUAGGGAAUAUUGCACAAUGGGGGAAACCCUGAUGCAGCAACGCCAACGUGUGGGAAGAAGCAUUUCGGUGUGUAAACCACUGUCGUGAGGGAAUAAUACGCGUCUUCGGGCGCGGGGGAAUGUACCUCGAGAGGAAGCACCGGCAAACUUCGUGCCAGCCGCCGC
RNAcentral lists this ribosomal RNA (489 nucleotides) under uncultured bacterium. Its description in RNAcentral is "bacterial SSU rRNA". It matches the Rfam family "Bacterial small subunit ribosomal RNA", at positions 17 to 518 of the family's 1533-position model. The record is from RNAcentral.